This 1078-nucleotide long non-coding RNA is filed under the name Linum usitatissimum (flax). RNAcentral describes it as "long non-coding RNA (LUSI_LNC004478)". Lineage: Eukaryota; Viridiplantae; Streptophyta; Magnoliopsida; Malpighiales; Linaceae. The record is from RNAcentral.
AGACGUAACUCUUUAUACUUAUUAGGGGUGUUAAACCCCCUAGUAUUCCAUAUCCAUAUCAUAAUUUACGACAGCGCUGUUGUUGCCUGGUGGCCACUACCCCCUUAGCUUUAGGAGAAACUAGUUUACUCAAAUCCAUAAAAUCAUCUAGAGUUGGAUUAGGAGGACUACCUGGCUUCCCUUUUGGAGAAAUAACAGCAUCAACAAUAGGCUUGGAAAAAGCAGCUCCAUAAGCAACAUAUACAACAACAGGAGGAUCAACAACCACAACUUCCUCAUCGUCAGAAGCAACCAUGCGCCACCAAAACUUGCUCUACAUUCAAAGACACAGAAGGGCUCAAGGGAAGCUCACUCUCCGCUGCAAUAGCCUCACGUGCCCCCUGUUGGACUGAAGGACCCUUCGCUUCUGAAGAAGCCUCAAGUUGAACUCCAGCUCCCCUCCAACCUCCGGAGCAUAGCUGUUCGCUAGUGUAGCCUUUUCCUCAUCAGAGGACUCAGCUACAUUGCCCGAUAGUGAUUACGCCUCCGGUGAAACGAUAGGUUGGGUGCUUGUGUGCUUCUCAACCCACUUCAUCACAGAUUUCUUCCCAUAAGUGUGAGCUUGCGGAUACAAUAUAUCAAUAACAUUAAUUGCACCAUUCCCAGCAUAAACAGUAAGUUGAUCCUUAGUUUCCAUUGAUGGAUACAUCAAGACACAGAUGCGAAUAUAAGAACCCUCUCCGACGUACCUAUGAACCGGUUCACCAAACUGGGUAGCUGUCCAGCUAAUGCCCUUCGAAGUAAUCAAAGCAAGUGGUACCCCCUUUCAGAGUAAUCCAAACCGGCAGUUAUUCAGGCAAGCACCCCAGAAGCUCAAUCCCUGGAAACCAUCGACGGAGCAUCAUAGAUGCGUUGUGGAAAUGCCAAGAAUGCAAGAGAACCCAAUCACAUAGAUCCUUCGAGGAGAACACGAUGAGGAGGAAACCCUUAAAGAUCUGGGAAACAUGGAUAAAACAUUCAUAAUCAUAGAGAUGAUAAGCCAUAGAUCGGAUAACGCGGAGCGGAGAAGCAGAUCCAGUGAAUUGGGCAACCACAGCCG